GACGAACGCUGGCGGCGUGCUUAACACAUGCAAGUCGAACGGAAAGGCCCUGCUUUUAGGGUACUCUAGUGGCGCACGGGUGUGUAUCACGUGGGUGUUCUGCCCUGCACUUCGGGAUAUGCCUUGGAAACUGUGUCUAAUACCGCAUAGGAGCCCUUUUUCGUGAGAUGGUUGGAAGGUUUUUUUGGUUUAGGAUGGGUUCGCGGCCUAUCUGCUUGUUGGUGGGGUGAGGGGCUACCCAGGCGGCGCUGGGUAGGCGGCCUGGAAGGGUGGACGGCCAAAAUGGGAAUGGAGUAAGGGCCAGACUCCCACGGGGGGCAAGAGGUGGGAAAAAUGGACAAAUGGGGGGAGCCUGAAGCAACGACGGCGGGGGGGGGAAGACGGGCUUUGGGUUGGAAACUCCUUUCGCUAGGGACGGAGCUGUGAGUGACGGUAAUUAGAAAAGAAGCACCGGCUAACUACGUG
This 465-nucleotide ribosomal RNA is filed under the name uncultured bacterium. RNAcentral describes it as "partial 16S ribosomal RNA". It matches the Rfam family "Bacterial small subunit ribosomal RNA", at positions 28 to 507 of the family's 1533-position model. The record is from RNAcentral.